Molecule: ribosomal RNA, 513 nt
Filed under: uncultured bacterium
Lineage: Bacteria
Description: partial 16S ribosomal RNA
Rfam family: Bacterial small subunit ribosomal RNA
Source: RNAcentral
GACGAACGCUGGCGGCAUGCCUAAUACAUGCAAGUCGAGCGAACAGAUGAAGUGCUUGCACUUCUGACGUUAGCGGCGAACGGGUGAGUAACACGUAAGGAAUCUACCUAUAAGCGGGGGAUAACAUUCGGAAACGGGUGCUAAUACCGCAUCAUAUCUUCUUCCGCAUGGAAGAAGAUUGAAUGACGACUCUGCUGUCACUCAUAGAUUAUCUUGCGGUGCAUUAGUUAGUUGGUGGGGUAAUGGCCUACCAAGACGAUGAUGCAUAGCCGACCGGAGAGGGGGAUCGGCCACAUUGGGACUGAGACACGGCCCAAACUCCUACGGGAGGCAGCAGUAGGGAAUCUUCCGCAAUGGGCGAAAGCCUGACGGAGCAAUGCCGCGUGAGUGAAGAAGGCCUUCGGGUCGUAAAACUCUGUUAUAAGAGAAGAACAAAUUGUAGAGUAACUGCUACAGUCUUGACGGUAUCUUAUCAGAAAGCCACGGCUAACUACGUGCCAGCAGCCGCAGUAA